Molecule: long non-coding RNA, 2753 nt
Organism: Hevea brasiliensis (rubber tree)
Lineage: Eukaryota; Viridiplantae; Streptophyta; Magnoliopsida; Malpighiales; Euphorbiaceae
Exons: 2
Source: RefSeq, a predicted model, not a curated record
AGUUUUGGGCUUACCAUACGAAAAGAAAAGCCCAAAUUAGGCUGAAACUGGGCCUGUCAUAAGGAUUAAGCCAAUGAUUCUGUGUCUACUCUGGUCUCUUGCUCCACGUCCAACUACAGAUGAUAUUAAAUGCCAUUUCGGCCCCUUCAUUAUAGUGCUCCCACUAGCCCUAGACUUCCACACAACAAUGGCCUACUCUAUCUCUCCGGCGAAGCCGAUUUGUGCCGGUCGCCGAUCAUUUUCUUGUUCGCUUAUUGUGGAUCUGAGCCUCCGUUUUUCUGUUCUUGAUGUUCCUAUUUUUUUUGUUCUGGGUUUUGCCCAAUGAUGCACAUCAUAAACGUAUUGAGCGGUUGCAAAUGGUAGUUUUAGUUCACUGUAGUCUCACUUACCACCACUUUCGCUACCACUACCAUCUCCUCCGCCGUCUCUUUAUUCAUAAACAUACACACACACUCACACACAAGUGUUGUGGUGGCGUGUGAAGGCUUUUGAUGGACGCCAUUUGUGUUAAAUCCGUGGAUGAUUUGUUCAAAGCUAUGAGAUCUGAGGGCUUUUUUUUUUUUUAUUUUUUAUCUAAUUUUUCCUUUCUGAUGUAAACCGUAUAUACAUUUUUCCUUAACGGUGCUCGUAUUGGCUUUGCAUGUAUGCUUUAUUGGGUCUCUGGGCCUGAUGGACUAGAGUUUGGAUGUUUGUUUAGUCGUUGAAUUGGUCAUUUUUGUAUUUAAUAUAUUGAUUUGUGUAAAUUUCCCCACUAGUUAGAUGGUGGGUGUUUGGUAUUUGUGUUGGACUAUUGUGGAUGAUGAUACAUGCACUGGGCUCUGAAUUAUUGAUGGAACUGCAAGCCUAGAAAGCUCUGUCUGACUUCCUUCUCUUCAUUUUUUCCAGUCUUGAUGGCUUUAGGAAAUAUGAUGAGCUAUUUGAAUAGUUGGCCGCAAACUUUACCUAUGUUUGUUCCUUUCUCUGUGUUUAUCGUUACUAUUUAUAACUCUUAUUUUUUUGGGUUUUAAUACUUGUGGUGUCAGUUCUUCUUUUAUUUAGAGCUGACUGUUAUUCCUGGUUCCUUUAUGCAUUAUUUGAGAGCUUCUGUCUUUAACAUUUGCUUUGCCCGAACUGAUGACCUCUGAUUAAGUGGGACAGUUGCUUUGAUUUUCACUAUCUGCCUCCAUCUUCACUUUCAGCACUCCUGUCUCCAGGUGUACUGGCUGCUGCUGGUGGUGGUGGUGAUGGUGGUUUUUGUUGUUGUUCUAAUUUGAUCUGUUAUCACUGAAGAUAUUGAUUGACUUUUAAUGAAAAUCAUAUGCUUCACUGCCUGAAAUUACAACGGUUUGAUCUGAGGACUUUAUACAGUUAUUCUAAAUUUGCCUAUUUUUGGGUAUGCAGAAUAUUAUAAUUUGUAUAAUGCUCCAGAAUAUUAUAUUAUGCAAUUUGAGUUUAUCAACUUUGUUAUAUCUUCUGUCAUCUACUUUGUUGUGCAAUAGUUGGAUAUUAGCAUCCUGAGAGUUAUUCUCUCACUGCCCAAUGAUGGAUAAUGAGAUGUUAAUUGAGUGAUUGCUAGGGUGUUCACUGAGAGCAUUUUUUGCCAUCUACACUCUAGUAUCAGCAUUAUUAUAAUCUCUCUCUCUCUCUCUCUCUCUCUCUCUCUGUCUCUUUCUUUCUUUCUUUCUUUCUUUACUAGGGUUGAUGUUGUGGGAAGGCUUUCAGUGAAAACUACAACCUCGAUGACCUACGAUAGCUUUGAUGUCUGAGGGCACUUUUGAUUUUAUGCAUCCUUAUGGUUCCAUAUUUUUUCUCUCCUUCUGAUCUUAUCAAGAGGAUAAACAUCAUUAUACACGUAGUAUCAUUAUAUUUGUUCAGUCUAGAAAAACCCUCUUUUCUAAAAAGUUGAGUCUUAGAUUUUUUUGAUGGAUUCAUCUGGUUCUGUUUAACGUAUUUUAUGUAGAUUUUAUGUUGCUGAGGAAUGCAGCUGAUUCUUCUAGUUAAAGUUUUUGUGCACCUAUAUGUAUUUUUGUGGCUUAUAAAUUUGUGAAGACAGGUAUAUGUUGGAUGAUUUUUUUUUGCUGUAGUCAUUUUCACUUCUAUGCUUUUGCAAUGUUGAUUUGAACCAAAUUAUCUCACUAAGGAACCACACUCAUUUUGUUUUCUUAGUUAUGUCUAUUAAAGUGCUCAAAGAUGAGAACUCAUUAUUCAGAGUGGUGACUUUGUUUUUCAGUGUGAGCCUCCUCUAUUUCUUACUUCCCCUCUUACCUCAUUAUUAUUAUUAUUAUUGGUGGUGGUGGUGGUGGUGGUGGUGGUGUUGGUUGUUGUGAUGGUGGUUGUUUCCUUUAUCAUUUGAGAGAUGAGGAGGUUCCAUAUGAAAAACAGUGGCUUGACCAACUAUGAACAUCUUGGAGCUAUGAGAUCUGAGAGCUUAACGUUUUACAACAAACAAUAAUAUGUUGGUGGGUGGUUCAAAGUUCAAAUGCAGAUGCUAUCGAAGGAUAUGUUGUGAAAUAUGGAUGCUCAUGGAGUUGACUGUGUUGGAGUUAUGCCACAGGUCCGCUUCAAAGGUGAUUGAAGCCCCAGGUUUGGGUAAUAUUAGGCUAAUCAAAUUUUAACAUGUUUUACAAGAUUGUAAUGCUGCGAUGAUACUGAUGGCCCAGAGAAUUUGUUGGAUGUUAUGGUACAGUAAUUUAAUGUGAUGUUACAGUAGUGACUAAUUAUCCAAUUUGUAAGCAUUAUUUAUCAAAUGGAAUAUCUAUUAGCCGAUCGGAUCA